Molecule: transfer RNA, 73 nt
Filed under: Solirubrobacterales bacterium
Lineage: Bacteria; Bacillati; Actinomycetota; Thermoleophilia; Solirubrobacterales
Also listed under: 2 other names
Description: tRNA-Ala
Rfam family: tRNA
About the family: Transfer RNA (tRNA) molecules are approximately 80 nucleotides in length. Their secondary structure includes four short double-helical elements and three loops (D, anti-codon, and T loops).
Source: RNAcentral
GGGGCUAUAGCUCAGUUGGUAGAGCGUUCGGUUCGCAAUCGAAAGGCCGCCGGUUCGAAUCCGGCUAGCUCCA